AUGACUACACCAGUCAAAGCCGAUGUUCAAGCUAUGGAAAAAAUGAUGGAACCGCCACCUUCUGAAGGUGACGAGGCAACUAUAGCCGCAAUGUCACCUCUUGUUGCAGUGGGUCAGUACCUGUCCACUAACAGUGCCAAAAGCACGUUCCUGCGUAAUACUAGGUUGGUUGUUAAGGCAAUCUCGUCCAAACUGCCUCAUGAGCAAGAUAUGCAAGCUCAAAACAAUGUUAUAUCUGCGCUUCAGACACAAGUCCAUUCUCUAACAGAGACCCUUUGUGAAACAAGGACAUCCAUUGUUCGAUGUCGUCAAGAUAUGCAUGGUUUUGAACCAGACUAUCAGACAUUUGCUAUGUUCUUCAGGAGCCUAGGAGAAAUGAAGACGAAGGUUAUGGUGCUCCAUCUGACAGUAUAA
RNAcentral lists this ribosomal RNA (414 nucleotides) under Triticum aestivum (bread wheat). RNAcentral's name for it is "partial small subunit ribosomal RNA". Lineage: Eukaryota; Viridiplantae; Streptophyta; Magnoliopsida; Poales; Poaceae. The record is from RNAcentral.